RNA transcript from Cavia porcellus (domestic guinea pig), 2440 nucleotides. RefSeq lists it as uncharacterized. The transcript is spliced from 3 exons. The record is from RefSeq and is a predicted model, not a curated record. Lineage: Eukaryota; Metazoa; Chordata; Mammalia; Rodentia; Caviidae.
GGACCCUGUGGGGGCUGGGGGGUCCUGAUGGUGGGAGGGCAGAGACUGCAGGCCUGGUGAAGGCGGAAGAGGGCACCCGGGGCAGAGUGCACUCCCAGCCCACGGAGUGAAGCCCGGAGAGUGCGCGCAGGGCGUGUGGGGGUGCACAGGUGGAGGGGGUUGUGGCGGCGCCGGUGCCCGGGCAAGCAGGGCGCGCGGGCGGGCGGGGCAGGGCUGAGUGUGGGGCCGGAAGGUUACAUAAAUGUUCCCUGGCGCCGCCGCGAGGCCGCUGCGAACCCAGCAGGGCCCAGAACGAUUGCCUCAUCUUAUCGGGAACACAGCGUCCCUGCUGCUCUUGCCCAAGCCACAGCCGGGAACGGCGCAUUCUGCGGGCCAGCAGGAGAGGGACCGGCCAGGGUCUGUCCUCCGCCGCGGUCUGCACCCCAGCGAAGGGUGCAUGCGUUUCCUGGCCGUCCUGCUCUUAGGUACAAAAGGCCUGUCUCACUAUCACCUUCUUCAAGCGCAGCUUCCCAAACCGUCGGCCACCUGCCCCAAGGCGGGAGCCCCUAGAGGCUGCACCUGUACAGACCACGGUGCGUCUCUUUCUGCCGCCUCCUGCGUGCAACCUGGGGAGCUGUUGCUUUGCACUGUUACCCCAACGCCCAGCCCAGAGCAGCCAUCUGGGACCAGGACAGCUGGCUGCCACCGCCUCCUACUUGGUCCCAGCAACGUGGCAGGUACCCGACUGACUCCCCUCUCUGGCAGGGGAAAGGGAGAGGACCCAUCUCUGACCACAGUGUCCUGGGAAGGAAGAUGGAUCCAUCAAGGCCACGGGGUGUCCCUGCUCACAGAACAGAUCUCUCCAGAGGCACAAAGGAUAAACAGAUCCAGGCACACAUGUCCUCCCAGGUCGGGGGAACACCAGUGACGCCCCACAGACCUGACACACAGAUGACCUGGGGAGAAGCAUAAACAAAACAGCCAGAAAAGCUCUGCAAAUGAGGAAAUGGCACUGAGGAAUGGGGAACCAGAGGACCAGAUCCUCAGCCUACUGUGGUGUCACCUAGGGACCAGCCAGUGGAGUGGGGGAGGAACAACAAAAGAAGACCCACAGACUGCCCACUGCACACCAGAUGACGUGACACCUCCGCCCUGCAGGGGGUAGGAGGGGGUGAUUGGAUAGUACUCACAGAGAAGGCUGGAGCUAUGCUUUGACCCCUACACCAAGAGAAAUUCAAAAUGGGAUCCAACCAUCACACGGUACCCAUAAAUAUGCACAAUUUUAUGCAUCUGCUAAGACUUUUAUUAAAAAUUAAAAAUUAUACAUCCAUCCAAGAUUUAAAUGUGAGAAAUGAAACUACAGAUGUCUAGGCGUAAAGUGUUCUAUAAUACUCGAAGUUCUUUCCACAUGAACCAAAGUGCAGAAGCUAUAAAAGACAUAAAUGUGACUGUGGAGAAGUAUAAAACAAUUUGUGGACAAAGCCAUUAUAGAAACAGGCAAAAGAUAAAUGGCAAACAAUAAAAGUACAUCAUAACUCAUGUCACCAAGGGCUGAGCUCCAACAUGGAAGAAACUCACAGAAAUGAGAAGACAACAUAAAACAGAACAAGAGACAAAGGCCGUUCACAAAAGGCCAAGGCAAAUGGCUCCCAACGCUAGAAAACAUGUGCCACCUCCCCAACCAGGAGUUAAAGGAAAUCACUGAAAUGCAGCUUUCUGUCCAGCAGACUCUUGAGGCUUCGGGAAACAGGCUCUUGAUACUUUGCUAAUGGGAGUACAAAUUGUUAAAAAGUUCCUUGCAGGGUGACUGUCAAUACCUGGUAAAAUCACAAACGACCAUCUCCUUUGUGCAGGACUGGACUGUGGGUACCUUGUUCCACAAAUACGCCAGGCACCUACAGAUACACGCCUCAUUCUUCAACACAGCAGAAGCUUGGAAAAACAGCUCCCAGUACUGUGCAACACCCAUGCAAGGGAGCACUAUGAAAAACAAGUAGGGGUGCCUCCAAACUGCUGUGGAGGAUGCCCAAGCUGUACUGCCAAGUGAACAACCCAGGUCUCAUUGGGUGUGGUGGCACAUGCCUGUAAUCCCAGCACUCGAGAGGCUGAGGCACAAGGAUCACCAUGAGUUCGAGCCAGCCUGGGCUAUACAAGUGAGUCCAAAGGCAGCCUGCACUACACAGUAAGACCCCGUCUCAAAAAACAAAAAACAAAAACAAGAAAAACUCAAAGUAGGCCCAGCACAGAAUGCACGGAGGGUGAUCAGAUGGGCAGGAAGAUGUGUGCCCCUCCCCACCAUGUGUGCAGACUCUCGGGGGACACUGGGAAGGACAGCAGGUAGGAGACAAGGAAAGCUGCAAGAAUCUUCCCUGGGAACUGACCUUUCAGAUUUUGAGGCCCACAAAAGUGCUACCGCAUAUUCGAACAUUAGAUUAAAAACAAAAACCAGCAAACUAGAAAA